UUUUCUAUGUUCAGUGGACCGUGAAAUUGGGGUCAAAAGUCUAAUUUGGCUUAAAAAUUAGAAAGAUCAUCUCAUAAGCAACAAGUGUACUAAGUUUCAAGUUGAUUGGACUUCAGCUUCAUCAAAAACUACCUUGACCAAAAACUUUAACCUGGACGGACGAACGGAACCACAGACGGACGGACGGACGGACGAACGGAGCCACAGACCAGAAAACAUAAUGCCCCUCUACUAUCGUAGGUGGGGCAUAAAAAGUAAACCAUUAUAGGUCAAUGUACGUCCUUCAACACGGAGCCUUAAUUGGCUCACACCGAACAACAAGCUAUAAAGGGCCCCAAAAUUACAAGUGUAAAACCAUUCAAACGGGAAAACCAACGGUCUAAUCUAUAUAAGAUAAAAAAAAAAAAAAAAAAAAAAAACCAACGAGAAACGAGAAACGAGAAACACGUAUAAAUAACAUAAACAAACGACAACUACUGUACAUCAGAUUCCUUUUACAUCUGACAGGAUGUUUUAUUAGUAACCUUUUUGAUGGCUGCAUUAGACACAUUAAAAUUUCAAAUUGUAAUGUAUCGUCCUGAACUUGCCUGAAAUAUUUGCCACCGGAC
RNAcentral lists this long non-coding RNA (608 nucleotides) under Mytilus galloprovincialis (Mediterranean mussel). Lineage: Eukaryota; Metazoa; Mollusca; Bivalvia; Mytilida; Mytilidae. The record is from RNAcentral.